GCCCAAGAGACUGGAUAACACCUGGAAACAGAUGCUAAUACCGGAUAACAACACUAGACGCAUGUCUAGAGUUUAAAAGAUGGUUCUGCUAUCACUCUUGGAUGGACCUGCGGUGCAUUAGCUAGUUGGUAAGGUAACGGCUUACCAAGGCAAUGAUGCAUAGCCGAGUUGAGAGACUGAUCGGCCACAUUGGGACUGAGACACGGCCCAAACUCCUACGGAAGGCAGCAG
Molecule: ribosomal RNA, 231 nt
Filed under: uncultured bacterium
Lineage: Bacteria
Description: partial 16S ribosomal RNA
Rfam family: Bacterial small subunit ribosomal RNA
Source: RNAcentral